ACUCUAAGGAGACUGCCGGUGACAAACCGGAGGAAGGUGGGGAUGACGUCAAGUCAUCAUGGCCCUUACGGCCUGGGCUACACACGUGCUACAAUGGUCGGUACAGAGGGUUGCCAAGCCGCGAGGUGGAGCUAAUCCCACAAAACCGAUCGUAGUCCGGAUCGCAGUCUGCAACUCGACUGCGUGAAGUCGGAAUCGCUAGUAAUCGCGGAUCAGAAUGCCGCGGUGAAUACGUUCCCGGGUCUUGUACACACCGCCCGUCACACCAUGGGAG
RNAcentral lists this ribosomal RNA (274 nucleotides) under Mesorhizobium sp. Its description in RNAcentral is "partial 16S ribosomal RNA". It matches the Rfam family "Bacterial small subunit ribosomal RNA", at positions 1137 to 1410 of the family's 1533-position model. Lineage: Bacteria; Pseudomonadati; Pseudomonadota; Alphaproteobacteria; Hyphomicrobiales; Phyllobacteriaceae. The record is from RNAcentral.